GAAUCUUUUUGCAAAUUUAAAUUUCAUGUGACUUUUAUAUUAAGAAGCUGAGUUUUAAUAUAGUACAGAGCUAUUACUAAAAUGCAUGUAAUACAAUUCGAACCUACUGGCCAUUUGGAAUGUUAUAGAUUCACACCAUUGUUGGUGCCUAUACUUUAAAAGCCACUGAUCCUAAUAGAGACAUAUAGGAUUGGUGUGUGUAUGAGUAUGAAAGGCACCAAUGUUAGUCUCAAAUCUAGCCACUAAUAAGAGGGACAAUGAGAUAUUUUGAAUUUUAGAAAUAAUUAUAAAACCAUAAAAAAGUUGUACUAUUCACAUACACACCAAUGCAAUAUUGGUAGCCAUUGCUACAAUAAAGUCCUCUACAUAAGACAAGUUCCCUAGUUUAGUGGCUGCUUAGUGCCCAUUGAGGUUUGCUACUAAUGAGAGUGUCCACAAAUGACAAAAGACACCAAUGAAAAGAGUGGCUUUUAGCCAAAUUUCUAGUAGUGAGAAGAAGAAAGGAGAGUCAGACCAUGCAUUAUUGAAUUUGGAGACGUUUUUAGGAGGAUGUGAUUGAUUUACCAAUUACAUUCAAAAUCUAAUGACAUGUUUGUUUACGUAAGAGUGUGAUUGUUGUACUCUUUUGUGUUCAUCAAUUAAUCAUUGGGUAUCAGAGCUACAAAAAAAAA
This 671-nucleotide long non-coding RNA is filed under the name Malus domestica (apple). RNAcentral's name for it is "long non-coding RNA (MDOM_LNC015072)". Lineage: Eukaryota; Viridiplantae; Streptophyta; Magnoliopsida; Rosales; Rosaceae. The record is from RNAcentral.